UUUUCAGAAAAAUAUAAAGCUAAUUAGGUUUUAAAACUUCAAAGGAGAGCACUAAAUUCAUGGAAAUAAAUGCUAUCCCUUCUAAUUCAGGAGAAGAAAAAAGAAAACUACCUUAUCAAUACAACAAGAAGUCAGGAAAAGAGAGAGAGAAGUGGAGUAAGAUGGCUAAAUAGAACCCUCCAGUGUUUGACACUUCCUGCAGGAACACCACAUUUUACAACUAUCCAUGCAAGAAAGCACCUUCAUAAAAAAAAAUCAGAUGAUGUGAUGGUGAGACCAGUCUCCUCUUCAAACUACUACAUAUAUCAACAGUUGACAUUACCCUGGGCAUGUUGAUUUUAUAUACAUUGACUUAACCUACCUACCAGGCAUUCCAUUCCAUGGGAGACAUACUAAGUGUCUAGUAUGUCCCACGUUGUGAUAGGCAAUGUGAGAGUUACAGACAACCAAAAGUUCUUUUAAGAUAUAUUUCCAGGGGAGACAGAGUAAGAUGGCUCCACCAAUUGUUCCCCCGACAAGGACACCAAUUUAACAAUCAUCUACACAGAAAAAACACCCUCGUAAGGAUAAAAAUCAAUACAUUUGCUCUUGGAUCCCAUCCACCACGCUGUGAGGAAGCCAAAUUACCUCAUGAAGAUGCCCUCAAGGAGCUGAACCAAAGGCUCUGGCCCAUAGCCUUACGGAUCUCCAAGUUGAAAGUCAGCACCAACCUGCUAGUCAUAAGAAUGUUCCUAAUCACUCCUCAUCCUCCUCCCUCCUGCCACACUGAACUUUUUAAUGUGCAGCAUACUGGAGAGAAAACGAGUACUUUGGUCAGACAAGGAAACAGAGCUGAACAUGGAAAAAAGAACCAUAUUCUAAUUUUAAAGAAAGUGGCUCCGCAGAAUCUUAGAUUUUCCAAGCUGUGGGGCCUUUAUUGUGCUAGGAAAAAAAAGGGAAAAUAAUACACAAAACUGAAUCUAUUAUAUUUUCCCUUAAUGGCAAAUCUUGAUAAAAGAAAAUGGAACUUUAGAAUGGAAGGAGCAUCUGGGCUCAUUUUCUAAUGAAAUAUCUUUACAAAUGAGAAACCUAAGGGUCAGAGAGAAAAUGUGACUUGCCCAAGCUCUCACAGCUUUCCAUGACAGAAGUAGAAUCUAAGUCUUGAUGCUUAUAUUUUAGUAUAACUAAGUCAGGUAAUAGCAGAGAACACUCAGAAACUUUAACAGUAUGUCAAUUUCUUGGACUAUAAUGUUGAUGACUGUUUUAGGAUUGAUUAUUUUAAAGAUACAGAAAUAUUUUUUCUGUCCUUUUUUUUGGCAACAACAGAGCGUGCUUUUUUCUCUCCUCAUUAUUCUGUGGGGAAAUUUUGUGAAAUUCUGUCCAGUAAAACUGACUGAGGCAGUUGGGAGAAUGACCACUGCCUUCAUGUAGUAACAGAAGCAAUAAUCUCUAGUGAGAAGACAAUUGGUUGCAGGCAAGUCUCACUGGUACUAUGAUAGGGGACCCAGAUACAUUAGAGAAAAGCAAAUUAACAUGACCCCCAGGUCUCUGGAGUCAUAUAAGACGCUAAGUCUAAGUCAUAUAAGUCCCUUAUAACUUCAUAGUCAUAAGGGACUUGAAGCCUAUGUGAGUUCAUUGUUAUGUGAUGGAGAGUGGAGCAAUGGAGCAAGGAAGAAUGAGUGGAAAACUGUUUGGUGUUUAACUAAUGUGCUCAUAGAAAACCUGAUAAUUUUUGGCUAGUUCAAAGUUGUGUCUGACCUGAAGCAACUGUUAUUGCCUACUGACUAGAGUUCUUUGUGGAGGUUAUAUGAUUCACUUGAAGUGUUUUCCAAUACCAAAUUGGUUAGCUAAUUUAAAUAAGGAACCAGAUAUGUUAUUUCUUCCCCAGACUUCUUUCAACAAAAGCUAAUUUUCUUUCCUUCCUCCUAUCCAAAACACAACUAAUAAAAU
This 1929-nucleotide long non-coding RNA is filed under the name Homo sapiens (human). RNAcentral's name for it is "HSALNT0057539". The record is from RNAcentral. Lineage: Eukaryota; Metazoa; Chordata; Mammalia; Primates; Hominidae.